RNAcentral lists this ribosomal RNA (376 nucleotides) under uncultured bacterium. RNAcentral describes it as "bacterial SSU rRNA". It matches the Rfam family "Bacterial small subunit ribosomal RNA", at positions 524 to 898 of the family's 1533-position model. The record is from RNAcentral.
GACAGAGGGUGCAAACGUUGUUCGGAAUUACUGGGCGUAAAGCGUGUGUAGGCGGCUUUGCAAGUCGGAUGUGAAAGCCCCGGGCUCAACCCGGGAAGUGCACUCGAUACUGCAGAGCUUGAGUGUGGGAGAGGUUGGUGGAAUUCUCGGUGUAGAGGUGAAAUUCGUAGAUAUCGAGAGGAACACCGGCGGCGAAGGCGGCCAACUGGACCACUACUGACGCUGAGACACGAAAGCGUGGGGAGCAAACAGGAUUAGAUACCCUGGUAGUCCACGCCGUAAACGAUGGGUGCUAGGUGUCGCGAGCUUUGACUCUCGCGGUGCCGUAGCUAACGCGUUAAGCACCCCGCCUGGGAAGUACGGCCGCAAGGCUAAA